AAUGAACGCUGGCGGCAUGCCUAACACAUGCAAGUCGAACGAAGCCUUCGGGCUUAGUGGCGCACGGGUGCGUAACGCGUGGGAAUCUGCCCUUGGGUUCGGAAUAACUCGCCGAAAGGCGUGCUAAUACCGGAUGAUGUCGAAAGACCAAAGAUUUAUCGCCCGAGGAUGAGCCCGCGUAGGAUUAGGUAGUUGGUGGG
This 200-nucleotide ribosomal RNA is filed under the name uncultured bacterium. RNAcentral's name for it is "partial 16S ribosomal RNA". It matches the Rfam family "Bacterial small subunit ribosomal RNA", at positions 29 to 256 of the family's 1533-position model. The record is from RNAcentral.